GCGUAAUAGAUACAUAACACACAGGCAAUUUGUUUGACGGUGCUAAGGAUACCUAGGGCACAAGGUGCGAGUCCCUCUACCCUCAUGUGCUGUGACGGAAUUCCUUUGCCUCUGAAGAGUAUCAAGGAUUCAAUGCACCUGAGUGAUGGAUGGAAAAAUUCACUGCACAGUGGAGGUGGUUGAGCUGGCAAUGAGCAUGGUAAUGGUUCUGAUGACCCUUGAAAAACCAAAUAAGUCUCCUUCAUCAGGACUGAUGGGCUGGAAUAAAUGGACACUAUUUAAAAUUUUAUGUAUGCUUUAUAUCCAUAUAAAUAAAUUGCUCUUUACUAUAUGUAUUGUAUUUUGAUAAAUACAUUUGUAAUAAAAAUUCUCAUUAACUUUGUUAUUGCUGUUUUAAACUUGAUUGAAAGAAAAGUGACAAAUGCAAAAAUAGUAAAAAUGUCAUGCCAAUUAAUUUUGAUAUGAAUUAUGAUAGUGGAUUAUCUUUAGAAGUACAUUCUUACUAAUUGUUGGAUCAACAGGCUUCCUACGAACACUUGAACUUCGGGAAGUUAAUUUUAAAUUGUUGGUCCCCCUCCUUCGUUAUGUCAUGCAGCCUUGAGGAAUUCUCAUUAAAAUGUAGAGCAGCAAUCAUCAACCUUUCCCAUAAAAAAGGAUAAAAUAAUUGUUACGAUAGUGCUUUAUAAUGUAUUUACUGUAAUUCUUUUAUUAUUUUGAAAUAAAAUGUCCCCAUGUAAAUAUUGAAAUAAUUUGCAGUGGGGGAUCCUGAUCAUUAAGAGGGGGGGGGGGUAUCCCGAAGGUCGGAACCCUCCCCUUUCAUCAGAAAAUGUUGCUAAAAAACACCCACAUAUAUAGAUGGUGGAACCACCCUUUAACAACUAAAAUUUAAUAAUGGUAUAACCCCCCCCCCCUUUCCAAAAUUCCUGGAUCUGCCCAUGAUUUGUGUAAAUUAAAUUAGUGAAGAGGGGUUUCCAUCACAUGUCAUUUUUGGAAAUAAUUUAAUUUAAUUUUCAUUAACGUAUAAAUCCAAAGGAUGUACAUGUAGGAGUUAUAACAGGGGUUACUGGCCACCCACUCUACACCCCUCAGCCUUCACUUGAUUGAUCAGAAUUGAUAUCUUUGCAAUGUUAACAUUUAAUCGUGUUGGAAAAAUAAUAUUGCCCACUAAAAGAGUAAUAGAAGUCUAUGUAUAUUUAAAUUAUGCAAAGUUCUUGAUAACAUUACUAAGAUAGGGCAGUGGAUCUAUAUGACAGAAUAUGUUUAAACGGCAAUCUAAUCCAGGGUCCUGAUCAGAUGGGGGCAUGUUAGAAACUCGUCAUAUGGUACGUGUAUUGUAACUUAUAUAGUGAAAAAAGUUAAUAAACGUCACAGACUACAAUACAAAUUAUCAACUUUCUUACCGAUGGAAUCUUCAUAAUGAAGUUACACACGACGUACCCUAUUUUUCUCCAGCUUGACGGCAGCCUGGCGCUUGGGUUUAGGCUCGGGCGAAGAGAGGAGGGCAAGGUUGAGGUCGUCCACUUUCCUCUUAGGAUAAAGCGAUAGAAUCGCACCAGAGCAGAGGCGUUUUUUCGCAGGAAUUACACAUUCUCUCAUCAGUGAAAACUGAGCCUGGAAACAUCCGUCCGUGAAAUGCGCACUACAAACAACAGUAUACUGGGACGAUCCGGUCCAGUCUGCACGAGUCAGUCUCACAAAUCGAGUCCAUGCUGCUCUCUGUCGCUCGUCCUUCGGGAAAAAAUGGACGGAAACGGUGUCCGAGGGCCUGUUGUUGCUUCCUACAACUACACACAUGCGUCCCUUACUCUUACUUGCCAUUUCUCUUCGAAUAUUUUCUUCUUUUAUACUUUCGUCUUGUAGUGAAGAAACUGCCAAUGAUGGGUUGUGACGUCAGAUCCGGUAUUACAUUUUCAGUCUCGUUUUCGGUAUCGUAAAGGUGUGAAUUUACGAAGAAUGUUGCCCAUUAUAUCGUUUAUUGAUUAAAAAAUAACUGAAAUAAUUUUACUAUCGGUAAAAUACAUAAGAUAAACCAAAAUGUAUAUUUGACUUCCGGGACACUUUAACACUUAGUCUUAUGAAGCAAAACAACAAAGUUAUUCAUGAGUUAAGUAUUUCAUUUGGACAAUUCAGUUUCCCUGUGAAAAGUGUUAAAACAAUCUUGAUAAUCUACAGAAAUGCUCAUGGCUUGUUAUAUUUAAUAGUUAAUAAUACUACUGCAGUAGAGUUACUGUAAGUAGUCUAGUACUUUAAUAAGUUAUACCUUUAACAUUGUACCUUAUGUUUUUUAGAUUCCAGUGUGUAGUUAUGUGGCAGAAUCAUUAAUUUAAUGGACUAUAAGAUUUAAAUAUAUAUAACAUAUAUUAAAGUUUAGAACAAUGGUUUCCAAUACACCUUUCCUUUUCCAAAUGCUAGGGUAUUGAUAUAUGCUUUUCUUGUGCAGUUCAAACGUAUGAUAAACACUUUUAUCUAUGCAUAAAACUGCAAAUAAUAGACUAUUCUCGUUCAAAGCUACAGUUUGUGUACGAAGAAUGUCUCCAUGAUAGUUUAUAUCUAACAUUAUAGUUUAUAUCUAACAUUAGACCCUAGUUAUUUCAGAAUUGAUAGAUGAUGCAUUCCAGUUCAUAGAUUAAUGGCAACCCACAAAUUCUGGCUGGAUGUCGAUGGUACUACAUUUGCUGGAUGUCACCACUGGUUCGAUGUCGCUAAUGUGGUUUCACCGUCCAAGUGGGAAGUCGCCGAUCUGGAAGGCUAUCGCAGAUCUGGAGGGAUAUGACGAUUCCGGAUAAACAUUACCUUUCAGGAGGGAUGCCACGGAUUUGGAUGAAUGUCGCUGAUCUGGAGGGAUACAACAGAUUUGGAUAGAUGUCUCCAAUUACUCUGGACUGACGUCGCCCUUCUUUGAGGAAUAUCGCCACUCUACCUGGAUUCCAAUUCAUGGAUAUGACAGUUGGACUGAGUAGUUCAAUUCGUGUGAUAACCUCCAAUAUGCAUCUAUGUCAUUAUAAAACGGGGAGGAGUGUAGUCGAGUUAGGUAAAUAGACCCAUGCGUAAUGAACCAUGACUUUGCGCACGAGCGGGUUUCCCGCACUGAGACAUUCACUCGAAGUCAAACCAUGUAACCAUUAACACGUAUUGUAUUUUCCUAUGUACUACACAUGUACCUGUGUGUCAGUUAUGUCCAACAUGCCAGUGUUGAACCUCUGCCAUUUGUAUGUAUGUAUGCUUUGUAUUAUAAAUGUCAUACUACUAUUUACUAAAUAGUAGUUGCAUUUUCAUAUAU
Long non-coding RNA from Ostrea edulis (European flat oyster), 3280 nucleotides. RefSeq lists it as uncharacterized. The transcript has 2 exons. The record is from RefSeq and is a predicted model, not a curated record. NCBI's taxonomy places the organism in Eukaryota, Metazoa, Mollusca, Bivalvia, Ostreida, Ostreidae.